Molecule: ribosomal RNA, 253 nt
Filed under: uncultured bacterium
Lineage: Bacteria
Description: partial 16S ribosomal RNA
Rfam family: Bacterial small subunit ribosomal RNA
Source: RNAcentral
UACGUAGGUGGCGAGCGUUGUCCGGAUUUACUGGGCGUAAAGGGAGCGUAGGCGGACUUUUAAGUGAGAUGUGAAAUACUCGGGCUCAACUUGAGUGCUGCAUUUCAAACUGGAAGUCUAGAGUGCAGGAGAGGAGAAUGGAAUUCCUAGUGUAGCGGUGAAAUGCGUAGAUAUAUGGAAGAACACCAGUGGCGAAAGCGGCUCUCUGGUCUGUAACUGACGCUGAGGUUCGAAAGCGUGGGGAGCAAACAGG